GCACAAGUAACUCAGGAGCAGCAGUCCUCGUGGGUGCCGUGCGAGAAGUUGAGGCGGGCAACAUUCAUUCCAGAUUUAAUCAUUUCCUUCAGCUUGUCCACAGAGCGGGAGGCUGGGCCGAUGGUGCAGAUGAUGCCGGUGUUUCUGGCAAUGGUUGGCUCGGAGUCGAUGUCCAGGCGGCACAUGUGCUCCAGAAAGGUGUCUGCCAUGGCAGCGUGCAGCUGCUGGGUCUGGAUGAAAGCGGUCCCUGCAUCGUGGUGCUUCGACAUGGUUACUGGAGUUCGGUGUCUCCUGCUGCUGCUUCCGCCGCCGUGCCCAAAGCCUGUCCUGCCCGAGCGCCGCCGCCGCUCUGCACGCCUCUCGGCCGCGCCGCCAAGGUGAUCCCUGCCGAAGCACCGCCCCUCGGAUCCCUCCGCCCACUGCGCAGCGGGGAGAACGGCCGGGACUCUUUUUUUCCGGCGGACGCGCAAGCUGCGGAGGAAGCGAUGUGACCCUCACGCGCCGCGCAGCCAAUCAGAGCGUGGCACAGCCUGAGCGCACGCGGG
RNAcentral lists this long non-coding RNA (545 nucleotides) under Gallus gallus (chicken). Lineage: Eukaryota; Metazoa; Chordata; Aves; Galliformes; Phasianidae. The record is from RNAcentral.